CCUACGGAGGCUGCAGUGGGAAAUAUUGGACAAUGGGCGAAAGCCUGAUCCAGCCAUGCCGCGUGUGUGAAGAAGGCCUUCGGGUUGUAAAGCACUUUCAGUGGGGAAGAAAGCCUUGGGGCUAAUACCCUCGAGGAAGGACAUCACCCACAGAAGAAGCACCGGCUAACUCCGUGCCAGCAGCCGCGGUAAUACGGAGGGUGCGAGCGUUAAUCGGAAUUACUGGGCGUAAAGCGCGCGUAGGCGGUCUGAUAAGCCGGUUGUGAAAGCCCCGGGCUCAACCUGGGAACGGCAUCCGGAACUGUCAGGCUAGAGUGCAGGAGAGGAAGGUAGAAUUCCCGGUGUAGCGGUGAAAUGCGUAGAGAUCGGGAGGAAUACCAGUGGCGAAGGCGGCCUUCUGGACUGACACUGACGCUGAGGUGCGAAAGCGUGGGUAGCAAACAGGAUUAGAUACCUGGUAGUC
Molecule: ribosomal RNA, 463 nt
Filed under: Vreelandella stevensii
Lineage: Bacteria; Pseudomonadati; Pseudomonadota; Gammaproteobacteria; Oceanospirillales; Halomonadaceae
Description: partial 16S ribosomal RNA
Rfam family: Bacterial small subunit ribosomal RNA
Source: RNAcentral